AGAGUUUGAUCAUGGCUCAGGAUGAACGCUAGCGGCAGGCCUAACACAUGCAAGUCGAACGGUAACAUAAGAGCUUGCUCUUGAUGACGAGUGGCGAACGGGUGCGUAACACGUAUGCAAUCUACCUUUAACUGGGGAAUAGCCCGAAGAAAUUCGGAUUAAUACCCCAUAAUAUUUUCGAUUCACCUGGAUUGAUCAUUAAAGCUUCGGCGGAAGAAGAUGAGCAUGCGUCCCAUUAGCUUGUUGGUAAGGUAACGGCUUACCAAGGCUACGAUGGGUAGGGGGUCUGAGAGGAUUAUCCCCCACACUGGUACUGAGACACGGACCAGACUCCUACGGGAGGCAGCAGUGAGGAAUAUUGGGCAAUGGACGAGAGUCUGACCCAGCCAUGCCGCGUGCAGGAUGACGGCCCUAUGGGUUGUAAACUGCUUUUAUACAGGAAUAAACCCCUUUACGUGUAGAGGGCUGACGGUACCAUACGAAUAAGCAUCGGCUAACUCCGUGCCAGCAGCCGCGGUAAUACGGAGGAUGCAAGCGUUAUCCGGAUUCAUUGGGUUUAAAGGGUCCGUAGGCGGAUUUUUAAGUCAGUGGUGAAAGCCCACAGCUCAACUGUGGAACUGCCAUUGAUACUGGAAGUCUUGAGUUUGGUUGAAGUGGGCGGAAUGUAUCAUGUAGCGGUGAAAUGCAUAGAUAUGAUACAGAACACCGAUUGCGAAGGCAGCUCACUAAACUAUUAUUGACGCUGAGGGACGAAAGUGUGGGGAGCGAACAGGAUUAGAUACCCUGGUAGUCCACACCGUAAACGAUGAUUACUCGGUGCUAGCGAUAUACUGUUAGUGCCUAAGCGAAAGCGAUAAGUAAUCCACCUGGGGAGUACGGUCGCAAGAUUGAAACUCAAAGGAAUUGACGGGGGCCCGCACAAGCGGUGGAGCAUGUGGUUUAAUUCGAUCAUACGCGAGGAACCUUACCAGGGCUUAAAUGCAAGAUGACCUCUUGGGAAACCAGGAUUUCUUCGGACAAUUUGCAAGGUGCUGCAUGGCUGUCGUCAGCUCGUGUCGUGAGAUGUUGGGUUAAGUCCCGUAACGAGCGCAACCCUUGUCCUUAGUUGCCAUCAGGUAAUGCUGGGGACUCUAAGGAAACUGCCCGCGUAAGCGGUGAGGAAGGUGGGGACGAUGUCAAGUCAUCACGGCCCUUACGUCCUGGGCUACACACGUGCUACAAUGGCGAGUACAAAGGGCUGCUACCAGGUGACUGGAUGCAAAUCUCUAAAACUCGUCUCAGUUCGGAUUGAAGUCUGCAACUCGACUUCAUGAAGCUGGAAUCGCUAGUAAUCGUAUAUCAGCCAUGAUACGGUGAAUACGUUCCCGGGCCUUGUACACACCGCCCGUCAAGCCAUGGAAGCUGGGGGUGCCUGAAGUCGGUCACCGCAAGGAGCCGCCUAAGGUAAAACUGGUAACUAGGGCUAAGUCGUAACAAGGUAACC
Molecule: ribosomal RNA, 1483 nt
Filed under: uncultured prokaryote
Description: partial 16S ribosomal RNA
Rfam family: Bacterial small subunit ribosomal RNA
Source: RNAcentral